GAGGAGCCAUCUGGCAGAAGUCACACCACGAUGGUCUCCAUAUCGAUGGGCCUUAGUAAUCAGUAUAGGAGGAGCCGCCUGGCAGCAGUCACACCACGAUGGUCUCCAUAUCGAUGGGUCUUAGUAAUCAGUAUAGGCGGAUGAGCCUGGCAGCAGUCACACCACGAUGGUCUCCAUAUCGAUGGGCCUUAGUAAUCAGUAUAGGAGGAGCCAUCUGACAGCAGUCACACCAUGACGGUCUCCAUAUCGAUGGGCCUUAGUAAUCAGUAUAGGAGGAGCCGCCUGGCAGCAGUCACACCACGACAGUCUCCAUAUCGAUGGGCCUUAGUAAUCAGUAUAGGAGGAGCCGCCUGGCAGCAGUCACACCACGACAGUCUCCAUAUCGAUGGGCCUUAGUAAUCGGUAUAGGAGGAGCCAUCUGGCAGCAGUCACACCACGAUGGUCUCCAUAUCGAUGGGCCUUAGUAAUCAGUAUAGGCGGAUGAGCCUGGCAGCAGUCACACCACGAUGGUCUCCAUAUCGAUGGGCCUUAGUAAUCAGUAUAGGAGGAGCCAUCUGGCAGCAGUCACACCACGAUGGUCUCCAUAUCGAUGGGCCUUAGUAAUCAGUAUAGGAGGAGCCAUCUGACAGCAGUCACACCAUGACGGUCUCCAUAUCGAUGGGCCUUAGUAAUCAGUAUAGGAGGAGCCGCCUGGCAGCAGUCACACCACGAUGGUCUCCAUAUCGAUGGGCCUUAGUAAUCAGUAUAGGAGGAGCCGCCUGGCAGCAGUCACACCACGAUGGUCUCCAUAUCGAUGGGCCUUAGUAAUCAGUAUAGGAGGAGCCGCCUGGCAGCAGUCACACCACGACAGUCUCCAUAUCGAUGGGCCUUAGUAAUCAGUAUAGGCGGAGGAGCCUGGCAGCAGUCACACCACGACAGUCUCCAUAUCGAUGGGCCUUAGUAAUCAGAUUUCUAUGAAUUAGAUUUAGCUGGAGAACUUCCUUAAGUCACCUCCUCCAUGGUGAGCAGUGAUAUGUCUAUAGCAGAAGUUGCAAGUCAUCAGUAACUGGGUGCCUGGAUUACAAUGGGAACUUUUCUAUAUUUUAAUACUACAACCAUCAAAAGAACACGUAUGUAGACCGUCUGUUUAGAACACGUACAUUUCACACCUUUAACGCCAUCAGCAUCAUGACAAAAAAAAGGGAUCUGCAUUGUAUUCCAGAAAGGGCGCCUCCCUUGUCCUAUAGGCUAUGUCUGGUACUCCCAUUCACUUAAAGGCCGCAAUACCCAAUACAGCCCAUGGACACGAGAGGCGCUGUUCCCGCAAUAAAAUACAGAUCCUUUUUCAGUCUAAAUAACGCCUUUAAAUACUUCAUCCUUUCCCCAGUUCAUAGACCCUUAUUCCUCUGACCCGUACAGCGGAGAAAAAUCUGUACAGGAAGCACAAAGGGCCGAAACACAGCAGUACGCCGACUACGACUACAGAGACUUCUGAACAACCGCAAGCCAUGGGAAUGCUGCGUAGACCGGGUCUAAUGGAGGCGAUUAUCCAGUGAGACCUCCUGAUCCUGCCCAUCAAUGACCCAUCUCCACCCUGUGGCUCUUCAGCUAUUGCAGAACUACAACUCCCAGCUGGAGACCCACAUGUCGGAGCCCACCGCUGUAUCUAACUGUAUCUAACCUGCCCGUAUCUCAAUAGUACCACAGUGUCAUAUAUCGUCGCCCUUGAACCCUAAACCCCUCCACACUUUGUUCUCCAUUCCUAUCCAGGCAUCCACGUUACAGGGGAACCCCAACCUCCAUAUGGAGCUGAAGGGUUCACUUUUUUUGUGCUUUUUAUUAUUAUUUUAUAUAAACUUUAUUAAUGUGGAAAAAAAAAA
This is a long non-coding RNA of Bufo bufo (common toad), 1859 nucleotides long. RefSeq lists it as uncharacterized. The record is from RefSeq and is a predicted model, not a curated record. NCBI's taxonomy places the organism in Eukaryota, Metazoa, Chordata, Amphibia, Anura, Bufonidae. The transcript has 2 exons.